CGUCACUAGUGGGCCCCGUAAACCGCUCUCGUAUCUCGUUUAUUUCUUUCUUCCCGUCAACGCCACACAUCUCCUUUCCUCCAAAUCAAACACAGAUCAGGCUGCUCCGGCGAGCGACCACCUCCACCACCCCCCGCGCUGCUCGACGAGCACAACCCCAUCCCUUGCCCCACGCUGCUCCGACGAGCGGCCGCCUCCAACUCCCCUUGUGCUGCUCCGACGAGCGUAAGGCCAUCACUGCCCCGCUCUAUUCUAGCGAGCAGCCGCCUCCACCUGCCCCCGCGCUGCUCCGACGUGCGCCGUCCUCCACCGGGUGAUGGGCCGGCGGUUACGUCUUGCAUGAGCAAACGAGAUGCUGGAAUCAGCCUCGGCGGGUGCUGCAAUCGGCAAUCUUUUUGCUACAACCGGUUUUUGUUUUUGCUGGAAACAGCAACAUUUUUUUGCUAGGAUCCACAUUUUUGGAAGUGCUUUUUUGCUACAACCAUUUCAAAUUUUUGCUACCAUCGUUUUGUUUUUUGCUACCACCAUCCUUUUUUUAUUUUUGGCACCCAUCUUUGAUUUUUUUUUUGUUGGAUCCAUCUUUCUACUAGAACCACUCCAUUUUUUGUUACCAGAGUCUUUGAUUUGUGCUACCACCGUCUCCGCUUUUGCUACUACCCCGUCUCUUGACUUUUUUUGCCGGAUGCAUCUUUUUUACCUUUGAACCACUCCAAAUUUGCUACCACUGUCUUUGUUUUUUGCUACCAGUGUAUUUGAGUUUUGCUACCAUCCUUUUUUUGUUUUUUUCUGCUGGAUACAUUUUUUGCUGGAACCAGCAAUUUUUUUGUUGGAACUGGUGUUUUUGUUAGCUACUACCCCAUCUACAAACAGCGACAUCGAUGAACUUUCACUGAAAGGCUGCAACUGGAGGCCGAUUUUGCUGGAACCGACAUCACAAUUUUGCUGCAUCGGUGUUAUUUUUUGCGACAACCGGUUAAUUGUUUUGCUACAUGGCGACGGCUCGGUGCAGCGAUGGUGUCCUGCCAAGAUCCAGCGAGGACCAAUGCUGCGGGGACCGCGAGCCGACGGUGCUUCGAAUCAGCGGCACGCGCGGCCAUGGCGGGCUGCGUGAGCGGGGCGGGUGCACCGGAGAUUCCUUAUUUUUUUGUUCUGGCAUGAUGUGCGAGACGAGGAAGAAAAAAAAGGCCCAGAUCCAACGGCAGAUGAAACUGCAAUCGUACGGGAGGAUUUCGAAGAGUAUGCCGAGAAGGCAAAGGCCUUGCCCGAGACCCAGAGCACCAGCAAUGAAGACAAGCUUAUCCUCUAUGGACUCUUCAAGCAUGCCACUGUUGGGGUUGCGAAUACAGCUCGGCCUGGUAUGUGCAACAUGAGGGAGAGGGCCAAAUGGGAUGCAUGGGAAGCUGUUAAAGACAAAUCUAAAGAAGAAGCCAUGAACGACUACAUUACCAAGGUGAAGCAGCUCCAGGAGGAGGCAGCUGCUGCAGGCGCCUGUUAAUUAUUUGGUGCAAUCAGCUAUUGUCAGCGACGAACCCUUUGUGCUAUCUUAUUAUGAUAGCUAUAUCAUUCUGUCCACCGCAGUUUACUAUCAUCUAUGAAGACUACUAAAUAUUUUCUACUCCCUUCGUC
This 1626-nucleotide ribosomal RNA is filed under the name Triticum aestivum (bread wheat). RNAcentral describes it as "partial small subunit ribosomal RNA". Lineage: Eukaryota; Viridiplantae; Streptophyta; Magnoliopsida; Poales; Poaceae. The record is from RNAcentral.